ACCCUUACUUUUUCUACUGCUACUUGCCAUUGAUAAUGGUGGAAGAGAAAUUUAAAAGGAAGCGAGAAAGUGAAAGGAAGGAGGAAGACCUAACCUCAAAGCUAAAAAAGCCUGAGGAACCAUGAAGACACGAGGAAGAAAAAGAUGGCUCUGGAACUUUCGACUUCCACUGGAACUCAACGAUACUCUUGACACCCACAAAGAUCGCUCGGGCUCUCAAAAUUACGAUAGAAGGUCCAAAUGAGGGAAGAAAGUGACCUUAUAUAUAUAAGACCCAUCAAUGGUCGAGAUAGGCUCAUUUGAAUUGAGAUUGUCCCAG
This 319-nucleotide long non-coding RNA is filed under the name Elaeis guineensis (African oil palm). RNAcentral's name for it is "long non-coding RNA (EGUI_LNC025059)". The record is from RNAcentral. Lineage: Eukaryota; Viridiplantae; Streptophyta; Magnoliopsida; Arecales; Arecaceae.